Molecule: ribosomal RNA, 466 nt
Filed under: uncultured bacterium
Lineage: Bacteria
Description: partial 16S ribosomal RNA
Rfam family: Bacterial small subunit ribosomal RNA
Source: RNAcentral
CCUACGGGAGGCAGCAGUGGGGAAUAUUGCGCAAUGGGCGAAAGCCUGACGCAGCGACGCCGCGUGAGGGAUGAAGGUCUUCGGAUCGUAAACCUCUGUCAGGAGGGAAGAAGUGGUUAUAUGCGAAUAGUGUAUGACUUUGACGGUACCUCCAAAGGAAGCACCGGCUAACUCCGUGCCAGCAGCCGCGGUAAUACGGAGGGUGCGAGCGUUAAUCGGAAUUACUGGGCGUAAAGCGCUCGUAGGCGGUAUGUCAAGUCAAGGGUGAAAUCCCCGCGCUCAACGUGGGAACUGCCUUUGAAACUGGCAAACUGGAGUGUGUGAGAGGAUAGUGGAAUUCCAGGUGUAGGAGUGAAAUCCGUAGAUAUCUGGAGGAACAUCAGUGGCGAAGGCGACUAUCUGGCACAUAACUGACGCUGAGGAGCGAAAGCGUGGGUAGCAAACAGGAUUAGAUACCCGGGUAGUC